GUAGGUGAACCUGCGGAAGGAUCAUUAUCGAGCGAAUCCAAAACGAAAAAGUCUCCCAACGUGCAUACCAUCCAUUUGCAUGUUGUUGUGAGCCACAUAGAAACUCAUACACGUGUGGUGGCAGCCGUCUGAUGUGCUUUAUCGUGCAGACAAUGGCUUAUGAGUGGCUGUGUGAUUGUUGAACAACGGUGACCAAUUUGGCGUCUACGCCGUAUCUAGCUUCUGCCUGGACCGUCGGUAGCGAUGAAAGAUGCGGAGGAAGUUCCUCUGUUUUGGUACGCUAAAGCAGAGUUGAGCAGACUUAAUGAGCCACGCUUGGUGGCCGCCAAAACCCAAAACACAACCAGUCUAUUUUAACGUUUGUUGAUAUGUUAAUGUACAAAUCUUGGCGGUGGAUCACUCGGUUCGUGGAUCGAUGAAGAACGCAGCCAGCUGCGAUAAAUAGUGCGAAUUGCAGACACAUUGAGCACUAAGAAUUCGAACGCACAUUGCGCUAUCGGGUUCAUUCCCGAUGGCACGUCUGGCUGAGGGUCGAAUUAUAGUAAACUAUCUUCGAGUACUUUUUAUGGUCGUGAAGUAUUCGGCAAGUAGUGCAGUCGGAUUGUUUUUGUUGGUCGUCCGUUCGUUCGGUCGGUCAACAACAAUAUUCUGAGGCUCCUUGCUUAGUUGUGUUCUAGUAGACGUUAACACCUGAACAAUAUGUGGUGGUGAUAUUGGUGAUGGCGAGAAUCAUGCCGCUUCAAUGGGGCAGCAACCAGCAUACGCUAAUGACAGUUGGUUGAUUGAAGCCAGGGCAACGGAGUGAUGUACGUGUGGCGAUCAUUUAACGUUUAUAUUUGACCUCAGCUCAGUCGUGAUUACCC
Molecule: unclassified non-coding RNA, 863 nt
Filed under: Pseudoterranova decipiens (codworm)
Lineage: Eukaryota; Metazoa; Nematoda; Chromadorea; Rhabditida; Anisakidae
Description: partial contains 18S rRNA, ITS1, 5.8S rRNA, ITS2 and 28S RNA
Rfam family: 5.8S ribosomal RNA (bases 381-534)
Source: RNAcentral